RNAcentral lists this long non-coding RNA (232 nucleotides) under Elaeis guineensis (African oil palm). RNAcentral's name for it is "long non-coding RNA (EGUI_LNC007406)". The record is from RNAcentral. Lineage: Eukaryota; Viridiplantae; Streptophyta; Magnoliopsida; Arecales; Arecaceae.
UAUAUAGACCAAGUGAAGCAUCUGAGUGUGAUUACUGGAGUGAGCGAAAAGUACCAGAAAUUUGUAGGUAGACACCAUCGAUAUAUCUGUCUAGACACAAUACUUUCUAUAACAAAUUAAUUGCACAUGAUGAUUGGGUAGUACAAUAUCUAAAUGGAGAGUAUCUAUCAAUAUGCAUCAAAUUUGUAUGCUUGUAAUUGUAGAAUCCAUGACUUAACAAAGUAGACAAACA